Molecule: unclassified non-coding RNA, 287 nt
Filed under: Lihuaxuella thermophila
Lineage: Bacteria; Bacillati; Bacillota; Bacilli; Caryophanales; Thermoactinomycetaceae
Description: Long range pseudoknot
Source: RNAcentral
UGUGAAAAAGUUUUUGCAAAAAGGCGAUAAAGUGAAGUUGACGAUCCGUUUCCGCGGACGCGAAAUCACCCAUCAGGAGCUCGGCCGCAAAAUCCUGGAUCGCAUGGCCGAUGAAGUGAAAGACAUCUCGGAAAUCGAACGCCAACCCAAACUGGAAGGCCGGCAAAUGAUUAUGAUUUUAACGCCGAAACAGUAGUCGCAAGGAGGAAAACCCAUGCCAAAAAUGAAAACGAAAAAAUCCGCAGCCAAGCGUUUCAAAAAAACGGGAACCGGUAAAGUGAAGCGCA